This is a long non-coding RNA of Xenia sp. Carnegie-2017, 4327 nucleotides long. RefSeq lists it as uncharacterized. Lineage: Eukaryota; Metazoa; Cnidaria; Anthozoa; Malacalcyonacea; Xeniidae. The transcript has 6 exons. The record is from RefSeq and is a predicted model, not a curated record.
AAACAGGUAACAGAGCAAAUUUUUGGAAUGAAAAGGUUCACAGAAAGUGAAUCAAAGUGAUAAAUCGAGAAGUGAUAAAUACUUACAUGGAUUUUCUGGCAAUGUUAGCAUCUGCUUCACCAUUUCCAAGGUGAACUAUAUACUUAUUACAAAUCCUAAGACAAAUGUUCUGCGAGGAUGCUUGAUAAUAGGUACUCCUUCAUGUAAGACCAAGCAAAUACUUUGCUGAUGAUUCAAGAAUUGAUUGCCAUCCACUCAUAUUUGACAAUGUUAAUAGUUUCUUAAAACCUUUACCAUGAGGAUUCCUUAAAUUUAGUAAGUCAAAACGUCUAUCAAUGUUUCUGAUAAAUGUAACAGUAGCUUCACUAUUUUGGAACUCUGACUGUUUUUGGACUAUGUUCAUGAAAUCAAUGGCAUCUGCAACUGAGGCACUGAGUGUUUGAGCUGCCAAACUCACAUUCAUUUUGUGUUUCUCAAACUGGAUUGGUUAUUUGAUAAUUUGUUGGCAAGUUUUAGGCCCUCUUGCUCUUGCAGUAAAUUAAGAGUGUGGAAGAAGUUCCAUUGUAUUUGCUCUCCAUCACUUGAACAGGUUGUACCAAGAAAUGCUAAUGCAUUUCUUGCAAGUUUUAGCAUAUGGCAUGCAUUUAAGACGACAAAGACAUCUUUGCCAGUUAUAGGAUGUUGAAACUUUGGUGAAAUUGAAUCAUAGGUAUUGCCAAAAUUACAUCCAAGUUUCUUGAAAGUGCUGAUGUUGGUCGUCGUCCCAUCUGAUGUUACACACCAUAUUUUCAGACCAGCAUCACUUGCUUUCACCAGUGCAAUGUUGAUAAGCUGUGUUUGCACAGUUGCAGAAGCUUUGUUUAUAAGGAAGUAUCCAAUUGGCUGUUUCCAAUGACCUUGUAAUGCAACAAGUAAGAAAACAAGGGCUUCAGAUGCAACAAUUUGGGGGGCCUCUAAUGGUCCAUAAUCAAUGAAACCACUAUACUGGUUUUUGGCUGAUUCCCACUGAACCUGUAUAUGGAUGGCCAUUGCAUCCAAAACCAGGCAACAAUCUUUCUUGUUUUUGUCCAAUUUUGCUUGCUCUUCCAAACUUUGAAAUGACUCACUUAUAAAACCUGUUUCAUAAGCGUGGAAAUAUUGCAAUUUAUCAUUUUGGGAAGCCAUUUACAAUCAUUGGAGCAGAAACCAGGCAGUGCGUACAUGGUUCAGAAAAGGAAUCAAGAGGUGACUAGAAACCAAGAGCAUCAGACGACCAUAAUUAUGGAAAGAACUAUCGACUCAAACUUCAUGGAACGCGAAAACUAAAUUGCCCAACUGUUAUUCAACUACGUCACAUAAAUAUUUACGAUGAAUUUGAAUCAUCAGGCAGUUUUUCGUCACCCCGAGCUUUAGGACAGCUAAAGAGAAAAAAUUAAUAGAGCUUAAGAAAAAGAUUUCUUCUGGCGAGAGAAUAUCAAAAUCUUUUCGACACUACCUAAAAGUACCCUUAAGUAUAAAGCAUGUUAACCAUCCAGUUGUAGAAUAUGCAAUGGUCAACCAAAUCGUCGACAAAAGAAUCGUGGAACGAAUUCACGAACUAGCAAACAAAAAUAUAUCAGCGAUUCCAGAAGUCAGACGUUUUCUUGAAGAAUUAGUACAAAAUGAGUUGCUUGCUGGUACACCAGAGCACACAAAGCCCAAAAUGACAAAUCGUCGAUAUUAUCCAACCAAAGAUAUACGUAAUCACGUGGCUAGAGUUGCUGCCUCGACAGAAGAAUACAGCGACGACCAGGAAUCCCUGCUACGAAUAAUAGCCGGGUGGAAAUUGUCAUCAGAAACGUCAAACUUUUUUCUGUGUACUCGUGAAGGCAAAUCAAACUUUUUCGGGAAUCCUGUAAAUAAUUUUCUGUUCGUUCAUCAAGAGCAAUGAAUAUCUUGAAAGAAUGGAGUCCUGCAUGGAAUCCGAAGUACUUCAUGAUUUUUCUGCUGCAGAAAUAGGGACAUUGGAAUCAUGCUUCCCAGGUGCUUUCGCCUACAUUUGUGACUUUCAUCGUCAACAAGCCAUACAACGUUGGGUAAAAGCAGGGAGAAAUAAGCUGAACCAAAACAACAAAGACUUUUCUAGACGGCAAUGACAAAAAUUGGUGAUGCUUCAACAAUAGAAAGAUUUCAUGAUGACGUACAAGUCUUCGUCAUUCUAACUUGUACGUCACGAACGAAAACGUUAGGCACUACUUAGAAAGUACGUGGAUGACUUGUCAACGUCGCUCGUGCCAUGGAUUCCGAAAAAUGCAAGUUUUAAAUAUCGUUAAAACCAACAACGGCGUCGAAUCAUUAAACAGACUGUUCAAGUACACGUACUUUCCCUUAUCAAUCGACAAAUCUGUUCAUGGUAUAGUCGUCAUGAUUGUAUCAUCAUUUCUACCAGAUUCCUACCAAAGUUACUUGAGCGCAAACCUUCGCUUAAGCAGUUCUUACCGAAAGUAUAAUCGAAUUGUUCACAACUAUUUACAAAAUCGCCCACCGCACUUUGUUAAGCAGUGCUUAAAAAAUAAGUUUGUGUAUAAACCUGAAGGAGGGAAGAUUUCAAAUAAAAAGCUCCCAAAACAAGAAGCUGUUUAAUCUUGUUCAAUUUCUACUUCCAAGCUGCAGUUGUGAAUCUUGGCGACGAUAAAAUUAUUCAUGUAAGCACUUUUUCGCAGUCUUUAAUUUCUUUUCAAAAUGGCAAUUUUGCAAUUUGCCAGAGACGUAUCGAGAAAGUGUCUUUAUAACUCUUGACACUGAUAGCUUGCCCCUUCAACUUGGAACUGCUUUCUCUUCUCAUGAUGUUGCGUCUCACACGCAUAGCUAUGACAAUAAAUCAUUUUCUGAUCCAAUCACUCAAAUACCUGUGUACAGCCCCAGAACAGAGCUAACAGUGUCGUCGACUGGGAAAAAUUAGAAAAAAGUUUCAAGAGAAACUAACGGCCUUAAAAGACCUUUCAUUUUUGGUUGAUGAUGUAAAAGCACUUCGUGAUGGCGUCUCAAUAAUCGACAAUCUUAUGGUAAAAUUUUAAACAACGUGCCCAGAAGUUGAUAGCUUAUUUCUAAAAUCUAGUCCUGAAAAAAGAAAUUAAAGGUCGCAUCUGUUGACUAUCAUAAGGUGUUUCACAAGAAGCUUUCCCUAAGAGGAAACACAAGAAAAACCCUCAUCAGCGUGAAAAAGGCAUGGAUGGUGAUGAAGAGAUGAUUAAAGAGAGAUCAAUGGAGGAACAUCCAUCCAUUGAUCUGACUGUAUAAUCACCAGAGCAGGAAUCAUGCAUGGAUUUUUGCACAAGCACCUCGAAUAAUGAACGAAGCCAGAAAGCCAGAAAAAGAUAUUGGCAAUGUGUCCUCAGAAAUCGUUUCAUCAACAUCAGUAAAAUCAGCGCGGAAUCCAUACGAUAGAAUAGUACUUGCAAGUAAAAAGGGUUUGCAAACCGGUAUUCUUGAGUUUGGUCCGGUCAAACUUCAUGUGGCUGAUCUCUGCACUCUACUGCCUCUGCACUCUACUGCCUCUGCACUCUACUGCCUCUGCACUCUACUGCCUCUAGUGACUACAACAUGAACAACAGGUUUGGUGAAAGAAGCUCAACCUUUGUUCCUGUUUGGCUAGUUGAUGAGGUGAUUGACAUUAAAACUGGUUAGAAAAGCAAGGAUUGGGCAUGUUUACAACCAAAACACUGUGUUCAAACAGAUGGCUUCAAUGUGGAGUCUUAAUUUGUGUAAAAUGAUUUCAGUUUGCAGGAAGUCUUGCAUGAGUGGAACAUUUUAAAGUUUGAACUAUCAAAGGAAAGAGCAAAACUUGCAUCUGCACUUUUGGGAAGUUGUCAUGAUGAUAUAAAUGAGUAAGAAGUUCCUUCAUCUUAUUUUUCAAAGUUCAUGCUUAAGAAAUGUCAAAUUUAUACAUAUGCUGAUGCUAUACUUACUAAUUAAGGCAAGAUGAUUCCUCUUGUAAAAUUUGUUAAGAGUGUGAAAGUGAACACUGGAUUGGCUGUGAUACUUGUGGACAAUAUUUUCAUGCCAGCUGUCUUAAGCUAGAUUAUGGUGAGGCAUUAAGAGACAUGUUUUACUGUCCAUAGUAAUUACUAAGGCCAAUGCAAGUACGUAAGGUACUUAUCAGGUUGCCAUAAUCUGCAUGCUUCUAUUUUAUUAUUUCGAGUUUUUACACUGUUAUUAUGUUUGUGUACUGAGUUGAUAACUAUGUAUUUACCUGUGUGGCCUGUUUGUGAUUUGCUUCAAACUAUAAAUUAAUGUAUGUAAAUAUUUGGAAUAGUUUUAAUUGACUGAAUGAAACAUAAUGAUUGAUUAAAUAAUCAAUAAUAAAAAA